ACAUUGAAGGCAACCAACCAAAUAAAACCCUCUUUAAAAGUAGAGUAUGAGAGGAUCAAGACGAGAAGCAACCACUGGAUGAAUGCGGUUAAGGUGUCAUAGUAAGGGAAGAACCUGAAACCAGAGUUGGAGACGAGCCGAGGAAAGGUGUUGGAUUGGCUUAGCAAGCCAUCAGGCUUAAUGCUUUAAGGCUCUCAUUUUUUGUUCCCGAUAAUGUGUACUCAUGUAAAGUAUCUAAAACUAUGAUGAAGCCAACUUAGAAACAUGUAUUUUGUAUGAAUCUCUCGACUCAAAUGAGUGGGUUAUCGGUAACUCCUACAAGUCCAGGUAUAUUCCCAGUGGCGAGCGUCUACACAAACAUGGACUAUCUUUUCUGGAGGAAAAAUAAUAUCAUUGUACCAGACCAAGACAGAGAUCCUUAUCCCUGGAUAAUAUGGUAUAUUUGGGAGGCUCGCAAUGAUAAGCUUUUCAGGGGUAUAGAUAGAGACCCUUUGGAACUCGUUCGAUACGCAGAGAGUGAAUGCCAAGCCUGGUUUAACGCAAAUGAGAUGAUACCGCCACAAGUCCGGGACGGCAAUAAUGAUGUAAGCCAAGUCUUAAGCUUGGGUAAUAUCUGCUUGCUAGAUGGAUCUUGGACAGCUUCUGAUCGCUUUAGUGGAUGUGGAUGGGUCUGGAUGGAUAGUAGGGAGGACAUACAACUUAUGGGAACACGAAACUUUACUCGAUCUGAAUCAGCGUUGCAUUCGGAGGUAGAAGCGCUGCGAUGGGCGAUGGAGAACAUGCUUCAACACUUGCCGUGCUAGAGCUUUGGAACGGACUGCAAAGAGCUGAUCGCAAUGAUAAAUGAACCCCAGAAGUGGCCAAGAUUUGCGACAGAGCUGGAGAAGAUAGAGACGCUGCAGAUUUGUUUUCCGGAUUUCAAAAUCACCCAUGUACCACGUCUGUGCAAUCAGUUUCCUGAUUUUUUAGCUAAGACUGCUAGGAGCUUUCAUAGGGAGCUACUUUUCAUUGGUUGUUCUAUUCCGGUCUAGGUAAGGUCUGGUUACCCAGACCAUCUCAAGCUUGAGUAAUAGAAUGGCCGUUUGACGUCAAAAAAAAAAAAAAAAGAGUGGGUUAACAAACAAACAGCUUGAGAUGUAUCUUAAUGAAUGGGUUAACGCCAUAGAUGAAAGAAAUGGUGAAUAAUUACACUUUUACCGUAAAUGAUUUCCAUAGCAUACCAAAUGGAAUCUAACUCUUUCGUAUAAAUAUGGUGCAGAGGAGAAUGCACAAACUCAACAAGCUACUAUAAAGCCAUAUCCACAGCAAGAGCAAGUCUUCUCUAGCCACAACAAUUCUCACAAGCCACAGUGGUUGUAAGCAUGAACAAUAGUGAAUGUUCAAAAAAACACUAGACAGUACUAAUUAUGCAUUUUGAUUAAUGUUUAAACGGGCUAUUUUUAAGAAUUAGUGUAGGUGCAGCUGCACUGGACCAGUCGAUCCCUAAACUCUCUCACAAAAGAGAAGAAAAAAAAGGCCUAAUCGAAAAUCCUAAUAAUUCAAUGUCCGCCGCAAGCCGAGCAUCCGCCGCCGCGUCAAAGCUCUCCACCGGUCCCAAACCUAUGCCGGCGGCAUCAUCUCGGUCUGCGUUUUGGAUGCCUAAACAGAGCCCUCUUUCAAACCGCAUUUUCAGGCAAGCCAGUGAGAACCAUCCCGAAACACUGAUGAUUAGCUCCAAUCUGAAUGAAUUCUUUUGUGUUGGGACUGAAAGAUCUCCUGUAGUACUGAGCUGCUGCGUGGAGACGAUGCUCCCUUACCACACGGCCACUGCUUCCGCCUUGCUCAACUCGAUGCUCUCCGCUUCGCGCCGUGGUUGGAUCGUUGAAGGUCUACACGAGACUAGAUGAAGAUGAAUCAACAAAACUUGUAUUGCAAUGAUGAUGUUGUAUGAUCGAUGAUUACUGGGGAGAGGUCCGCGAUGCAUUCAGUCUAAAAGACAAGCUUCUUGGUUUCUUGAACAUGAACGUAGGGCAGUGGCAGUUUAUAAAAGAAACAAUUUGCGUCUCUUUGGUCACAAAUAAAAGUUUGUAGGUCUCUUUUGUUUUUCCUGUGGUGAAAGUUUCUAAUGGAGUGCAUGCAUCGUUUGUUUAUGGUGUGUUGUAGAUGGAUGACUCACCUUCUCGCCAUUGCAGUAAAAAGAGGAAGUGUGUUUAAGACCACAUUGUUUUGAUUCUUGAACCAUAAGAAUUAAGAGGUGUUUUUGCUUAUAAACAUUUUACUAGAUAUUGAUAAAUAAAACAUGGAAGUAUCAUUGCUCUCUGAAAGCUCUUUCCGUUGUAUAAAUCAAAUACUAUAAGAUACAGAUUGGGUCAAUUUGCUGUUUA
This is a long non-coding RNA of Brassica napus (rape), 2363 nucleotides long. RefSeq lists it as uncharacterized. Lineage: Eukaryota; Viridiplantae; Streptophyta; Magnoliopsida; Brassicales; Brassicaceae. The record is from RefSeq and is a predicted model, not a curated record. The transcript is spliced from 3 exons.